GUUUCCAUAGUGUAGUGGUUAUUACGUUGGCUUUACAUGCGAAAGGUCCCCAGUUCGAAACUGGGUGGAAACA
Non-coding RNA from Alosa alosa (allis shad), 73 nucleotides. The record is from the annotation of a RefSeq genome assembly. NCBI's taxonomy places the organism in Eukaryota, Metazoa, Chordata, Actinopteri, Clupeiformes, Clupeidae.